RNAcentral lists this ribosomal RNA (456 nucleotides) under uncultured bacterium. RNAcentral describes it as "bacterial SSU rRNA". It matches the Rfam family "Bacterial small subunit ribosomal RNA", at positions 28 to 477 of the family's 1533-position model. The record is from RNAcentral.
GAUGAACGCUGGCGGCGUGCCUCAUAUAUGCAAGUCAAACGCGCAGCGAAAGGUGCUUGCACCUUUCAAGUGAGUGGCGAACGGGUGAGUAACACGUGAAUAACCUGCCUCAAGGCUGGGGAUAACAUUUGGAAACAAAUGCUAAUACCGAAUAAAACUUAGUAUCGCAUGAUAUCAAGUUAAAAGGCGCUACGGCGUCACCUAAAGAUGGAUCCGCGGUGCAUUAUUUAGUUGGGGGGGUAAAGGCUUACCAAGACAAUGAUGCAUAGCCAAGUUGAAAGACUGAUCGGCCACAUUGGGACUGAAACACGGCCCAAACUCCUACGGGAGGUUGCAGUAGGGAAUCUUCCACAAUGGGCGCAGGCCUGAUGGAGCACCGCCGCGUGUGUGAUGAAGGCUUUCGGGUCGAAAAGCACUGUUGUAUGGAAAAAAAUGCUAAAAUAGGGAAUGAUUUUA